RNAcentral lists this ribosomal RNA (245 nucleotides) under uncultured bacterium. RNAcentral's name for it is "partial 16S ribosomal RNA". It matches the Rfam family "Bacterial small subunit ribosomal RNA", at positions 104 to 334 of the family's 1533-position model. The record is from RNAcentral.
CGGUAGGCGGGACGGGGUGGAGUAACGCGUGGGUAACCUGCCUCAUACAGGGGGGUAACGGUUAGAAAUGACUGCUAAUACCGCAUAAGCGCACAGUACCGCAUGGUACGGUGUGAAAAACUCCGGUGGUAUGAGAUGGACCCGCGUCUGAUUAGCUAGUUGGUGGGGUAACGGCCCACCAAGGCGACGAUCAGUAGCCGACCUGAGAGGGUGACCGGCCACAUUGGGACUGAGACACGGCCCAG